This is a long non-coding RNA of Lycium barbarum (goji berry), 1901 nucleotides long. RefSeq lists it as uncharacterized. NCBI's taxonomy places the organism in Eukaryota, Viridiplantae, Streptophyta, Magnoliopsida, Solanales, Solanaceae. The record is from RefSeq and is a predicted model, not a curated record. The transcript is spliced from 3 exons.
AAGAGGCCCACGUGUAAAGAGUAUAAGUGAUAUUACGUCCAUUAUCUCACUAUUUUUGUGGAGAAUGCUAUGGAGAAAAUUAAGCAACAUUUAGUAAUUUCAUAUUUUGUGGCAGCAACGUCCAGCAAAUUAAUUUCAAGAGAAAUAGAUGCAGCAACAUGAUUUUCCCUUUUUACAAGCAACGUUAUUCAAUUUAUUAUGGGUUUCGCUCAUCGCUUCGAUUUCGUUGUUCCGUUUUAUCGCAUUGUUGAAUUCGGAAUUUCUUCGAAGUGAAGUAAGAUGGAAGAGGAGUUCUUGGCAAAUAAGGCUGAACCGCUAAAGUAAUUGCGAGCCGGACUGGCAACAAAGCUAACAAGAUGUCAAAGUGGGAGAUCUUAACAAGCCAUUUCGAUUCAACGGUACUCAUUUCAAGGGAUGGAAGGGUAAACUACUUUUGUACUUAAGUCUUCUCAAUGUUUCUCAUAUGUUAACUGAGAAGAAUCCAAACAAAGAAGGCAACUCUUCCAUGAAUGAUGAAGAACUUAUUUCUCUUCAAGAAAAAAUUGAAAAGUACGAUGAAGAUUCAUACAAGUGUCGAUAUUAUCUUAUUAAUUGUCUAUCAGAUAAUUUUUAUGAUUAUUAAGAUAGAACUUACUCUACUCCAAAGAAAAUUUGGAAAGUGUUGCAGAGAAUAUGAUACCGAUGAGGUUGGAGCGAAAAAAUUAUGCUGCUAGUAGAUUUUUUCAUUUUCAAAUGGUGGAUAACAAAUCAGUGUUAGACCAAGCUCAAGACUUUAUAAUGAUCGUUGGAGAGCUCAGGUCCGUGGAGAUAAAAAUUGGAGAUAAUCUUAUUGUUUGUGGCAUAAUAGAUAAACUUCCACCUUCAUGGAAGGAAUUUCAAAAAACUAUGCGCCACAAACAAAAGGAAACUUCACUUGAGACGUUGAUUAUGCGAAUCCCCAUGGAAGAAGAGCCAAGGAGCCAAGAUGCACUUUUGCAAAUGGAAGAGAGCACCUUACAACCCGUCACAAACAAGGUAAACUUAAUUACUUCAAAUAAUGCUGCUCCUAAUACUCACAAAAAUACUUCUUUGAAGCCUAAGAAGAAAACAUUCAUGAAAAAUAAUGGUAGACCUCCCAAUAAAAAUAAUGGUGGUGAUAACCAAGCACAAGAUCAACAAGUAUAAAAUGGAGGACCGUGCUUUGUCUGUUGCAAGAGUGGGCAUAUUUAUCGAUUUUGCAAGUUUCAAAAAUGUGGUCCUACAGCUCAGUCGAACGUUACCAAAGAGCCACUUGUGGCUGUGAUAACAAACAUAAAUAUGGUUGAAAAUUUUGAUGGAUGAUGGGAUAGUUCUGGUGCAAACCUUCAUGUCUUCUAUGACAAGGAUGGUUCAAAGUGUAUACUCCUUUUGAGGAGCCCAAAACCAUCAUGCUUGGUGAUUCCCACACCACCCAAGUUCUUGGAAAGGGAGAUGUCUGAGUUGAGCUUCACUUCUGGAAGGGUACUAGCAUUAAAAGAUGUACUUUUACUCCUUCCAUGAGAAAGAAUUUGAUGUCUAGUUUUCUUCUUAAUAUAGCAGGCUUCAAACAAAUUAUUGAGUCUGAUCAAUUUGUAACAGUGAAGAAAGGUAUUUUUGUGGGGAAGGGGUAUGCUUGUGAUGGGAUGUUCAAGUUGAAUGUUGAGAUGAAUAAAGUUUCUAAUUCUGUUUAUAUAUUUUCUUCUACUAAUUUUUGGCAUGCUCGUUUGUGUCAUAUUAAUAAUCGUUAUGGGGGAAUCAUGAGUAGUUUAGGAUUAAUCCCAAUGAUUAAAAAGGAUUUUGAAAAUGUGAGGCUUGUAAUAAAGCCAAAAUCACAAAAGGCCUCAUUUUCAAGUUGAAAGAAAAACUGAAUUGUUAGAGUUAGUCCAUACUGAUAUUUGUGAACU